GGUGGGGUAAAGGCCUACCAAGGCGACGAUCUGUAGCGGGUCUGAGAGGAUGAUCCGCCACACUGGGACUGAGACACGGCCCAGACUCCUACGGGAGGCAGCAGUGGGGAAUAUUGGACAAUGGGGGGAACCCUGAUCCAGCCAUGCCGCGUGUGUGAAGAAGGCCUUAUGGUUGUAAAGCACUUUAAGCGAGGAGGAGGCUACUUUAGUUAAUACCUAGAGAUAGUGGACGUUACUCGCAGAAUAAGCACCGGCUAACUCUGUGCCAGCAGCCGCGGUAAUACAGAGGGUGCAAGCGUUAAUCGGAUUUACUGGGCGUAAAGCGCGCGUAGGCGGCUAAUUAAGUCAAAUGUGAAAUCCCCGAGCUUAACUUGGGAAUUGCAUUCGAUACUGGUUAGCUAGAGUGUGGGAGAGGAUGGUAGAAUUCCAGGUGUAGCGGUGAAAUGCGUAGAGAUCUGGAGGAAUACCGAUGGCGAAGGCAGCCAUCUGGCCUAACACUGACGCUGAGGUGCGAAAGCAUGGGGAGCAAACAGGAUUAGAUACCCUGGUAGUCCAUGCCGUAAACGAUGUCUACUAGCCGUUGGGGCCUUUGAGGCUUUAGUGGCGCAGCUAACGCGAUAAGUAGACCGCCUGGGGAGUACGGUCGCAAGACUAAAACUCAAAUGAAUUGACGGGGGCCCGCACAAGCGGUGGAGCAUGUGGUUUAAUUCGAUGCAACGCGAAGAACCUUACCUGGCCUUGACAUAGUAAGAACUUUCCAGAGAUGGAUUGGUGCCUUCGGGAACUUACAUACAGGUGCUGCA
RNAcentral lists this ribosomal RNA (803 nucleotides) under Acinetobacter seifertii. Its description in RNAcentral is "bacterial SSU rRNA". It matches the Rfam family "Bacterial small subunit ribosomal RNA", at positions 251 to 1045 of the family's 1533-position model. The record is from RNAcentral. Lineage: Bacteria; Pseudomonadati; Pseudomonadota; Gammaproteobacteria; Moraxellales; Moraxellaceae.